AUGAUUAGUGGAAAAUGGGAAGAUAGCUUCCAUCGUCUCUAUAGUUUCAAGGCUGAGGUGGAGAAGUGUUCUCCUGGUAGUGUAGUGGAAAUAGACAAAGAGACUGUGCAGUACACGAUCAAAGGAAAAGUGAGGGAGAAGGAAUGCUUUAGGAGGGUGUUUGUUUCAUUCAAGGCAUGUUGGCAAGGCUUUUUAAAUGGAUGUCGACCAUACUUGGCCGUAGACUCAACUGCACUAAAUGGGAGAUUCAAAGGGCAACUAGCUUCUGCUUGUGCCAUUGAUGGCCAUAAUUGGCUUUACCCAGUUGCAUAUGGGGUGCUAGAGACAGAAUCAUCUGAAAGUUGGGCUUGGUUUCUUCAAAAUCUGCGUGGGCUUAUUGGGCAUCCUGAAGGACUAGUCAUACACACUGACGCUUGCAAAGGUUUAGAGACAACAGUAGAACAAGUGUGGCCUGGAGUGGAGCAUAGGGAGUGUAUGAGGCAUCUUGCUACAAAUUUUCGAAAAAAAUUCAAGGGCAAGGUCUAUGAUGAUAAUAUUUGGGCUGCAAGCUUAACUUUCAGCUCUAGAAAGCACAAUUGGCAUAUGAAACAGAUCCUUGCUAAGAAGAGUGUCCAAAAAUAUAUGGCCGAACACCACACAAAGAUAUGGUAUAGAAGCAAGUUCAAUGAAAUCUACAAGGUUGACUACGUCAAUAACAACCUCGCAUAGUCAUUUAAUAGCAAAGUCAGGAAAGUUAAGGCUCUUCUUAUUGUUAACAUGUUGGACAAGAUUAGGCAGCUGAUAAUGGAGAAGUUUGAUCUGCGGAUGAGGAUAGCAUUAGAAAAAUGGCUUGGCCAUCUCAUAAUACCAACUGUGAUAAAGACACUGCAUGCCAAAUCCAAAGGGCUGAAGAUGAUGGUAAUUAGACGAAGUGAUGUUGAGGCAGAAAUUACUACAGUGGACAAAGAGAAUAGGGAAUGGAGGUACCAUGUUGACAUCGCAAAGGAAACAUGUAGCUGCAGGCAAUGGCAGGUCAAGGGUUUGCCAUGUAUCCAUGCCAUGUACUUUAUUACUUCACUACGAGGUCCGGUAUCAGAAAUUGAACCAUAUGUACAUGAGUUCUACUCCGUUGCAAAAUUUAAGGCUGCGUAUGCGGACAACAUACCUGCAAUGGUAGGCAAGCAACAAUGGGACAUUGUUAACCCUGGCUUCAAACUACAUGCUCCAGUGUUGUGGAGGCCAAAAGGCCGACCAAGGAAGACUAUAAUUAGAUCUAGUGCUGAAGGUGCUGGCGUGGGCGCUAGGAAAAGGAAGUGCAAGCGAUGCGGAGGCUUCGGGCACAUUGCCAGAUUGUGCACAAAUCCAGUUGACCCAGCAUUUGGAGAAGAUGAGGCUGACCUCCAAGCUAGGGAAGCCCUUUUGUGGCAGGAGAAGGUGACCCUAAACUAUCAAUGGUUGCAAGUUCUGCUAGGUAACACGAAAAGAACAUGUGCUUUUCUAUAUGUAUUUUCAACAUCCAUUUUCAUUCUUUUUUGCAACAUGACUAACUUCUAUACAACUCAAAGAAAAGUGUGA
RNAcentral lists this ribosomal RNA (1554 nucleotides) under Triticum aestivum (bread wheat). Its description in RNAcentral is "partial small subunit ribosomal RNA". The record is from RNAcentral. Lineage: Eukaryota; Viridiplantae; Streptophyta; Magnoliopsida; Poales; Poaceae.